GCAUCCUGCUCAUCCUUCACCGUGGGCCGCCAGCCUCACACCGUGCCGCCGGUUUAAAAUCACUUUGGAACACACAGCAAGGGUCCUGACAGCUUCUGCUCAGCCGAGCGGCCCUCCCCAACUCCCAUUUCACAGCUGCUGUCCAGCUGCAGGGCUCACGGCCUAUUCACAGGACAAUAUUUGAAGUAUUCGAAGUAUGGGUGUCGCAGCCCAAGGCCGAAUGCCAGGCUCCUUGUGCGGAAGGAGAGCGGGCACUUGGUACCAGAUGGAAGUUGGACAGAUGCUCUGGGCCUCUGGGCCGCCGCAAGCUUUCCGCAGGACGCAGCACAGGAUGCAGGCCCCGCCUUCGGGUCCCAGGCCCCUUGGUGCUUUCAGGGGCAGCUCCCAGGCAGGACCUCACAGCCUCCGGGGUCGAGAGGUGCGCCAAAGCUGCGGAAAGCAGCUGGGUGUCCCCAAGCACCCGGGGGUUCGGACACUUCCCGUGACCGUGCACUGUGGCCAUUGAGUGGGGCCCAGGGCUCAGCCCGGGAGCUGGGGCCGCGGAAGGUCUGCGGGAAGAUCGCAGGGUCGGUGGCUGCGUGUGUGAGGCAGGCAGGCGGCUGCGGAGGCUCGGCCCCAAGGUGGGUGCGGGGCCUGAGAUGGGCGCAGGCCCCAAGAUGGGUGCAGGGCCCGAGGUGGGUGUGGGGCCCAAGGUGGGCACAGAUCCCAACGAAGGCAUGGGGAAGCCUUGUGGUUCCCCCCCGCCCUGGUGACACAGGGCCCAGGAGCCUUGGGAGGGGCUUGCAGCUCAGCAGGGCCUGUGGUGGAGUCCCGGCGGCAGCGACGGCCAGAGGCCCUGACGCGGCCGGGGGGGGGGGGGCGGGGCCAGUCAUUCUGGGCUCCGGGCGGUCAGGGAGCCCAGGGGCGCUCUGA
Molecule: long non-coding RNA, 912 nt
Filed under: Vulpes vulpes (red fox)
Lineage: Eukaryota; Metazoa; Chordata; Mammalia; Carnivora; Canidae
Description: lncRNA (ENSVVUG00000008307.1)
Source: RNAcentral